GUGGGGAAUCUUCCGCAAUGGACGAAAGUCUGACGGAGCAACGCCGCGUGAGUGAAGAAGGUUUUCGGAUCGUAAAGCUCUUUCGUUAGGGACGAACGUGCUCUUUGUGAAUAAUGAGGAGUAAUGACGGUACCUAAAUAAGAAGCCACGGCUAACUACGUGCCAGCAGCCGCGGUAAUACGUAGGUGGCCAGCGGUGUCCGGAAUUAUUGGGCGUAAAGCGCGCGCAGGCGGGAUAUCAAGUCUGUCUGAAAAGUGCGAGGCUCAACCUCGUGAGGGGACGGAAACUGGGAUUCUUGAGUGUCGGAGAGGAAAGUGGAAUUCCAAGUGUAGCGGGGAAAUGCGUAGAGAUUUGGAAGAACACCAGUGGCGAAGGCGACUUUCUGGACGAUGUCUGACGCUGAGGCGCGAAAGCUAGGGGAGCGAACGGGAUUAGAUACCCUAGUAGUCC
Molecule: ribosomal RNA, 450 nt
Filed under: uncultured bacterium
Lineage: Bacteria
Description: partial 16S ribosomal RNA
Rfam family: Bacterial small subunit ribosomal RNA
Source: RNAcentral